Molecule: long non-coding RNA, 2478 nt
Filed under: Zostera marina
Lineage: Eukaryota; Viridiplantae; Streptophyta; Magnoliopsida; Alismatales; Zosteraceae
Description: long non-coding RNA (ZMAR_LNC001983)
Source: RNAcentral
UGGCGGCCUGGCCGCUGGUUCACUUUUGAAAAAUAAAAAAAAAAUAAAAAUAAAAAAUAAAAAUGAAAUUGAAAUUGAAAAUAAAAUUAAAAAUGAAAUUGAUAUUGAAAUUGAAAUUGAAUUUGAAGUUUAAUAAUUAAGUAACUUAUUUUCAGUAACAAAUUCAGUAAACCCCCAAAAAUUCAUAACCCCCCAAUAACUUAUUUUAAGCCCCAAUUAUAAACCCCCAAUUUCAUAAACCCUAAAUUAGAAGGAAAAAACUACAAUAACUACAAUAAAUUGGAAAGUAACCCCCAAAUAAAAAACCACCAAAUCAUAAACCCCAAAAUCAUAAACCCCCAAAUCAUAAACCCCCAAAUUAAAAACAACAAAAAAAGAAGAGAAGAAGAUGAACAUAAUGUAAACCAUACCUUGAAGAUAAUUUCGACAAUGACCGGAGAGAAGUGGCCGGCCGGAUUAGAAGAAGGCUUCAACCUAAAAUANNNNNNNNNNNNNNNNNNNNNNNNNNNNNNNNNNNNNNNNNNNNNNNNNNNNNNNNNNNNNNNNNNNNNNNNNNNNNNNNNNNNNNNNNNNNNNNNNNNNACAGUUACAAACAUCAUUUUAAAUCCCAAUCAACCAAAAAUCCUAUUCAAAGCAAAAAUAAAUUCCAAUUCAAAGCAAAAAAACUUCAUUUUGUUGCUCUUACCUAUUCAAAGCAAAUCCUACAUUUUGUCCCACAUCGAUUUGCAUGAAUACGAAAAUUAAAAUCAACUUCAUUUUCAUUUUUACAUCAAAACAAUGUACCACACUUGAUUUUACAUGCUGUCAUAACAUUAAUAUUAUAAUGGAAUUGAUUUGCUAAACAAAAAAACUACAUCCUGAUUGCAACCAUUACAUACAUAAAAACAUGCACAAAUAUCACGUCAAUUCCAUCAAAACAUGCACAAUUUUAAAAGGAAUUUCAAUACCUAAUUCUGUCUACAAAUUAAAAAGGAAUUUCAAUCACAUAUCGAAAUAUAUCCCACCUCUGUUCCACAUACUAAUUUCAAGCACAUAUCAAAACAUCAUUUUAAAUCCUAAUCAACCAUAAAUCCUAAUCAAAGAAAAACUAAAAUCUACAUUCAGUGAUUAAAAUCCUAAUGAAAUAAAACCAAAAAUCCUAAUCAAACUAAAACCAAAAAUCUCUCUUUCAUCAUCAUCAAAAAAAAAUACUCUGUCUACAUUCAUCAUCAUCAAAACUACAUUCAUUUAAGUCGGAUUCUAGCCAUUACAUAGAUUGCAAAAAAAAAAAAAUCUUUCCACAUAGAGUACAACACCCUAAAAUCACAACUAAAUAUAUUAAAAUCACAAUUAAAAUCAAAACAGUACAUAUAUUACAAAUAAAGUCAAUUAACUAAAUCAAAUAUAAUCAAAACAGUACAUAAGUCAAUUAAUUAACUAACUAUAAUUAACUAAAAUAAACAAAACUAAAUCAAAGCACCAAUAUCAAAACCCCUAAAUAAAACCCCCAAUAUCAAAACCCCUAAAAAGAGUGUAAAUCACAAUUACUAACCCCACAUCACAAAUUCACAAUGCAUGAUUUUUUUUUUAAAAUCAAAAGACAAAUCAUUGGAAAGUAUGAUUUAAAAUCAUAAACCCCCAAAUCACAAAUCAAAAGACAAAAUUAAUAUAUUUAUAAAAACAGUAAAACCCUAAUCUAAAUUAACUAAAAUCAGUAAAUGAUAAAAAUAAACUAAAAACAGUAAAUAAACCCCCCUAAAUAACAUCAGUAAAUAAACUAAAUAAAAACCAACAAAUAAUAAACCUAACAUCAAUAAAUCAAACCUAAAUCAAACCCUAAAAUCUAACUACAAUAAAUCAACCUAACAUCUAACCAUAAAAUCAAACCCCCAAAUACAUAUAUAAGCCCCCAAAUAAUAAAUACAUAAACCCUAAAUGUCAUAAACCCACAAAUACAUGAACCCCAAUGUCAUACAACCAUAACCCCCUAAUUUAAUCAAAUAACAUACAUCAAAUGAAGAACAAAAUAGAAAAUGUAGAAGAAUAGAAAAAGAUAAUAUAAAAUAUAAUAAGAUAAGGAGAAGAUGAAGAAGUAGAACAUGAAGAUGAAGAUCAAGAAGGGGAGAUUAUUACCUUGGGGAGGAAUGGCCGGAGUGCUCAAUCAAACGCCCUUGGGGAGAACUUUCGAAACCUUGGGAGAAGUUUGGGAGAGUUUGGAGAAGUGAGGAAACCGUUGGGAGAAAUGAGAAAAGUCUGGAAAUUUUUUUCUUAUAUAAAAAUUUCCCGGCGGCCUGGCCGCCGGGAAAUACUUAAGUUUCGUUUGACUAAGUUUGACUGUACGGGGGACCACGGCGGCGCAAGUUGUAAUUUUAGGGUUUCCAAAAAAUCCUGGCGGCCAGGCCGCCGGCUACUGAAAAAAACAAGCCGGGAAAAGUAUCCAGCGGCCAGGCCGCCGGGAAUUUUUCUCCCAACCGUUGAGGGUUUUAGUAUACCGGCGGC